CUUACACACCAGCAAGGGACUAUGAGCUCUACAAAUAUAAAAGCUGCUUCCUUUCAAGCCUUUGCAACCUUAUCAGCACUUGGGACAGAGUUCUGCCCACAGUUACCAAUUCUGUGUGGAAUAGGAGAAGCCUGCUCCAAGCCCCAGGGGACUUUCCCAAAUUACGGUGGCCCCAUUCAGGGAUUACAAGCCUGUCCCUUAAUUGAUGCCAGAAACCUCGUAACCUCUUCCUGUGAAAAGAAAUCAAUGGGCAUAAGAAGAAAGGACCAGAGCCGAGGAUCCCUCCUAGCUCUUCCCAAUCAGGCCUCACAUCUGCUGGUCUUUGACGGAUUUUUCCUCUUCUAAAGCCUCCCGGUGGAAGCCCUUGGAGAAAUCAAUCACUCAGCCUCCCCCUCCAUGGGCCGCGAGAUGGACAGAAGGAGGGUUCAAUGGGGAUUUUUAUAAAUUUCAUCAAUAUGAGCAAGAAACAGAAGCCGGAACAGCUUUAUUGAUUUAAACAUUAAAAUAACAUCUGCUUUCUUUGC
Molecule: long non-coding RNA, 524 nt
Filed under: Monodelphis domestica (gray short-tailed opossum)
Lineage: Eukaryota; Metazoa; Chordata; Mammalia; Didelphimorphia; Didelphidae
Description: lncRNA (ENSMODG00000046203.1)
Source: RNAcentral